Molecule: long non-coding RNA, 256 nt
Filed under: Nicotiana benthamiana
Lineage: Eukaryota; Viridiplantae; Streptophyta; Magnoliopsida; Solanales; Solanaceae
Description: long non-coding RNA (NBEN_LNC021798)
Source: RNAcentral
AAAUCAAAUCAAAGGCUAUGGAAAAUAAUUGAGUUUGCUAAGUCCUAACUGCCAUUUCUUGUGUUUGCUACCUCGCAAAUGGAUCAGCAGAACAAUCUCACGACAUAGCAAAUCCUCCACAUAUGUGACACCAUCAAAUCUCAUUUGGUUCCUCAUUUUCCAGAUUAGUGCAAUAGUAGUAAUGAAUGCAGCAGCUGUAAUCCCUUUAUGCCACUGUCUGCUCUUGGCUAAGCUGCAAAUCCAGUGUAAUUCANNN